Molecule: long non-coding RNA, 836 nt
Organism: Cavia porcellus (domestic guinea pig)
Lineage: Eukaryota; Metazoa; Chordata; Mammalia; Rodentia; Caviidae
Exons: 2
Source: RefSeq, a predicted model, not a curated record
GUGGGCGGCCCCGGCGCUCGGGGGCCAGCGCGGCGCGCACGGAGCGGGCCCGGGCCUCGCGCCCACCCCCGCGCCCGGCCGGCGGCCGUCCACCCCGGGCCAGGUGACCCAGCCGGCGGUGUAGACCGGCUGGGCGGCCGGCGACCUGAGCAUGCCGCGCUGCGCGCCGCUCCGGCUCCCCGCGCCGCGCUCCGCCGGGAGACGGCCGGCUCUGGGUUCUCCGAUCCGGCAGGAAAGUCUACCGAAAAGUCUGCCUGCUCCGGGCCUUCAUGUGUUCUUGUCAGGGCCUUGUCCAGCUCCUCCUUUUCCUUUUCUCCCUGAGCCGAGCAUCCUUCCUGCCUCGGCCUCAGCCGCGGGCACAGCCGAAGUAAUGCGCGUCCCUGAAGACGGCGCCUCUUGGUUCCCCGUCGUCGGCCGGCGUGAGCGGGGGCGUAGGGCACCGCAGGGCGCUGUGCCAGCCUGCGUUUAGCAAUCCUCGAAGCUGAGCGUCCGGGCAGGACCUUGACGAGGCGGCAGACUUCCCGAGGCUGCCACCGUCCUGAGGCACAGGAUCCCUCGAGUCCUGCAGGAGGCUGUUCCUGGCGCUGUUGUGUCCUGGAAUUGUCUCCACUGAGCACUGAAGAUCCUGCCUGCCAGCUCCAGAGGAGAGCCUCCCUAGGACCUACGCUGAUGGGAGAGCUGGACUUUCUCAGGACCUUUUGAUGCCCUAGGAAAAGCUGUGGGCUGGGGUAGAAAUGGCCGGGUGCUCAGUCUGUUUUCUGGUAUCUGAAUUCUUUCAUUUCUAAACUGUGGAAGAAACAGCCCUCAUUGAUAGAUAAAAUGAGCAUUUAUUGAGU